Hyaena hyaena (striped hyena) is the source of this 609-nucleotide long non-coding RNA. RefSeq lists it as uncharacterized. The record is from RefSeq and is a predicted model, not a curated record. NCBI's taxonomy places the organism in Eukaryota, Metazoa, Chordata, Mammalia, Carnivora, Hyaenidae. The transcript is spliced from 3 exons.
UUCUCCUAACUUUACUUUCCCUUAAAGGCAUAAGUUCUCCAGACACAAAUUCUUCUACCACUAGGGUUUUCCAGAGUCUGAACCCAGUGGCCAAGAAGAGAAGACUGACUUUUUUGGCCCCAAACAGCCUGCCCUCGUGGGCAACAGGUAGCUUACUUCAGGCUGGAAGACAGCCUUAUGGCAAGGAGGUCCCCAGGGAAGGCCUCACCUCUGAGUCCAGGUCCACUGGCCAAUGAGGAUGAGCGGAGGUGACGACACUACAUCCUAUUUCCCAGCCCAGCCUGAGAGGACGGGACCAGCUGAGGAAAAGAGCCAAUACUACAAGGAAACAGGGCUAAGACAAAGACAAAAACAGAAGAAACCAACGUGCUCUUCUGAGAAGUUAUAAGGGGGUCAAGAGAGGUCCUUAAUUAAACAUCGGAGAUCAAGGCUGGAGAAAAGCCGCAGACCAGGACCCUUGACAAAUCCAAUCAGAUUUGCUACACAGCUAAGAAAGUUAAAAGACUCAGAGUCAAUGAAUUCUCCAUAAGCUGAAGGAGGACCAGGCUUACACUAAUAAUAAUAAAGGGCCCCAGCAUUGGUAAUGAAGAUAGUGGUUUAUGCCCAGGU